GUGAAUCCUCGAAUUUUUGAACGCAAAUUGCACUCUCCUCGGAGAGUAUGCCUGUUUGAGGGUCAGCCUAUAAAAAAUCUACAUCGUUGCUGUUUCUCGGUGGCGUUCGUCGGAAAUUGGGUCAUCUUAUAUCUUUUGGUUUUAAGCUACUUAAAAUUUGCUUUUUGGUUCCAUGAACGUUUCUAAGAUUUAUUUCUUUACACAUUUAAGGUAUCGAUUUUUACUAACCGUGACCAUCAUAUCGGAUCGCGUCCAUAAUCGUUCCUUAAAUGACCUCAGACAGG
This 284-nucleotide unclassified non-coding RNA is filed under the name Glomus sp. RNAcentral describes it as "partial contains 5.8S ribosomal RNA and internal transcribed spacer 2". The stretch from base 1 to 65 matches the Rfam family "5.8S ribosomal RNA", at positions 84 to 154 of the family's 154-position model. Lineage: Eukaryota; Fungi; Glomeromycota; Glomeromycetes; Glomerales; Glomeraceae. The record is from RNAcentral.